RNAcentral lists this ribosomal RNA (439 nucleotides) under uncultured bacterium. RNAcentral's name for it is "bacterial SSU rRNA". It matches the Rfam family "Bacterial small subunit ribosomal RNA", at positions 772 to 1205 of the family's 1533-position model. The record is from RNAcentral.
ACCUAAUAGAUACCCGGGUAGUCCACGCCCUAAACGAUGCGAACUGGAUGUUGGGUACAUUACGGUACUCAGUGUCGAAAGCUAAACGCGUUAAGUUCGCCGCCUGGGGAGUACGGUCGCAAGACUGAAACUCAAAGGAAUUGACGGGGGCCCGCACAAGCGGUGGAGUAUGUGGUUUAAUUCGAUGCAACGCGAAGAACCUUACCUGGCCUUGACAUCUGUCGAAUCCUGCAGAGAUGCGGGAGUGCCGCAAGGAACGACAAGACAGGUGCUGCAUGGCUGUCGUCAGCUCGUGUCGUGAGAUGUUGGGUUAAGUCCCGCAACGAGCGCAACCCGUUGUCCCUAGUUGCCAGCACAUCAUGGUGGGAACUCUAGGGAGACUGCCGGUGACAAACCGGAGGAAGGUGGGGUAUGACGUCAAGUCCUCAUGGCCCGUUAC